GCUCAAUGCCAUGACUGAGGAAGACCACGGGGUUUUCUCUCUUAGAGGGGAGUGAACCCAGAGCUUUGAGUUGAGAUGGGGGUGCCAUAAGAUUGAAGUACUCUGAAAAACAGAGCUUAAAGGCUUUUAACAGGAAUCCUUGAUAUUCUUCAUUCCAAUUGUUCACCUCUACUGUAGGGCUCAGUAAACACUUAAGGAAGUUGCCGUGCACUGCAGCCUGCCGGAGACAUGAAGGAAUGUACGGGAGGAUAAUCGCAACAUCAUCAACCCAAUUCUCCAAGUAAUUUGCCAUGGGACAGGCACACCCCAUGUGUUUGGGAAGACAAUGGGAAGGUUCUGUUUUCUGCUCCAAGACUGAUUCAACCAGUUGGAUCUGGAAGGGGAUAAAGGGCUGUGUGGCUGCUUGAUUUUCAUUGUCUAGUGGCAGCCAAAAUUGGAAAAGAGAGAAGUGCAGACUUUAAAGACAAGCAGCGACAGCUCAUCAGCAGUCUAACAACACGACAGAUGACAGGCCCAGAGGCACACCCAGGGCCGCCAGCCCAUCACCCUGUGCAGGAUGUCAAAGAGCAGCUGCAGCAAAGGAAGAAGAUCAUCCAGACUUAAAUGUUUGGGCCUUGCUAAGACCAUAGAGUCUUUGUGCUUUGGAAACAGUCCUCCAUACAAAGACCCCUUCCUAGAAAAGAGUGGAAAGAAACCAAGGUGGAAUGGAUACAACAGAAAGGAGACCAUGCUAAUAUUCUUGUGCAAUGCUUCCUGGGCAGAAAUUAUGUCAUAAAGGAUGUUCCAUUCUGCAAAGCUAUGUGUCUCUCUGUGGUUUGCCUCAGAGGAGGGGCCUUUCAUAGCUGUAGUGAGUAAGGGGGCCCUUGCUGAUGUUCAUCAGAUAUGCCAAGGCACAGGAAGAAAGCAUUGAGGUCACAGGGCAGCUCAGGUCCGCCUGUGGUAAUUGAAAACAGGUGACGAGAUUGGGUUGAUUUUAUUUUGGAAAAGUAAAUUAGUGCUGCACCACUCGGACAUGGCUAAUUCAUGAAGCCUCUGGUUUGUAUUAGACACCCAACAUGCCUUUCAGAAAGAAAUGACACAACAAUUAAUGUGUCAAAUAAUAAUGUGCCACUCGGAGAAAGAUAAUUGUACCCAUCGUCAGGUAGUUAUUAGGUCGAACGAAUGCUCAUCCUUUCAAAGGCAACAGCGUCUAUUCAUUCUGGCAUCCUACUGUAAGUACAGUAUUGUGUUCAUAAUCACACAGACUGAAGCCAGGAACACUGGGUUUUAUCUGAUUUUUCUCCAUUUGGAAUUGUACUCCGAUGAUUCCCUAAACAGCAAACUCAGUCAUGUGAAACACAAAUGAGUGUGAUGAAAGACAGAUUGUUAUACUGCAGGAGAGGCUUUCUGUGCUUUUCACAUAAUAUAGAGCAUGAGGACUGUUCCCAAGAAGGUUUAAGCAUAUGUAACAAAAACUACCAGACCUGAAUUUGCUCAUGUGUAAAUGAUAGUCUUUCCUUCUGGUGAUUUAAUGCAUGAGGACAUCAAUCAGUCACAUCAUGGCCUCAGAAGUCCUUGUUCAAUUUCUGAUGCCAUAACUUACUCGAUGUGGGAUUUGGACAAGUCAUUUAACUUCACUGCAAUUCUGUUUCCCUCAUUUGAAAAAUAGAAAUAGAAAAGCCUGCUGUAUAUUUAGGUCCACAUCUGUUGGGGAGGUCAAAGAAGAAAGAAUAUGAAAAGUUGUUUGUAAAUAUAAAGAACCAUGUAAAUAUAAGACAUUGUUUUAUUAAUGCUCCAGAUCAAUUAACUUUCAGUGAAUGAUAAAAUGUGACAUCUUUUCAACAGAGACAGUUUUACUUAAGAAAAACUAGGCAAUGGCUUCUGUCCUUACAAAUGAAAAACUUCAUAAUAAAUGGGGGCUCUCAAGACCACCUGGCCAAAACUGAACUAAAUACUCACUUCAUUCAACCAAGAAUGAGGAACUGAAAUACAUGAUUAUUAUAUAUGCAUAUGCUUCUGUUUCAUCUACUUGGGCAUGCUUGUGAUGAGAUAUGAAAAAUUAGCCAUCUUUAGAAGGAAAGAAAUAUUGUAUUUGGGGGUAUUUCUUCUGUACAGACAAUUGGCCUGGUUAUUGUCUAAAGGUAUUUAAAAUUAAUAAAAUGCAAUUUUAUGCUACAUAAAAUACUCAAAGCAACCAUAUUUCAAGGUAUGGCUUCUAUACCUUGUCCUCCCCUGAAGAUGCAUUCUCAACCGAUAUCUUGACUAUAUGGACAACAAAUCGUAAAAGAAAAAUGUAUAGUGUGGUGUUUGACGUUGAGUAGCUUAUGAUAGACAUUCAUACCUGUAAAGAGAUCUCGUUAGGGGAAACAAACUAAUAUAUAACAAACAGAUAAUUAAAGUAAGCAGUACUGAGACAGAGAAGAGUUGGUGACUUAGCCUGUUGAAGAUAGACACUUUGCUAAUUAGGAUUAAAAAAUAUAGGCAUAUCUGCUCUAAUAUCAUAUAAAUAUUGCCAAAAAACUCUUGUAUUCUGUAAAAGAAUACCUAAAAACAAACAGAGCUGACAGGCAAAAUAAGAUUGGCGGUGUGAGCCCCACUUGAAAUCUUUUUAUAAUUCUAUCUUGAAAGUAUUAUUCCAUUAUAUCCAUCUUUAGAUAAUUAAUUGAAGUAAAUCACUAAGUCCGGUCCACUUCAAGAAGAAAGGGAUUAAGAGAGAAUUUGGGGGCUAUCUUUGAAGCCAUCACAGGCUAUCUCUUAGAGGUAAAGGAGUGUUUAAGGAAGAAAAGACAACAUAAAUGGAG
This 2780-nucleotide long non-coding RNA is filed under the name Homo sapiens (human). Its description in RNAcentral is "HSALNT0203721". Lineage: Eukaryota; Metazoa; Chordata; Mammalia; Primates; Hominidae. The record is from RNAcentral.